GAACCUUACCUAAGCUUGACAUCCCAAUGACAUCUCCUUAAUCGGAGAGUUCCCUUCGGGGACAUUGGUGACAGGUGGUGCAUGGUUGUCGUCAGCUCGUGUCGUGAGAUGUUGGGUUAAGUCCCGCAACGAGCGCAACCCUUGUCUUUAGUUGCCAUCAUUAAGUUGGGCACUCUAGAGAGACUGCCAGGGAUAACCUGGAGGAAGGUGGGGAUGACGUCAAAUCAUCAUGCCCCUUAUGCUUAGGGCUACACACGUGCUACAAUGGGUAGUACAGAGGGUUGCCAAGCCGUAAGGUGGAGCUAAUCCCUUAAAGCUACUCUCAGUUCGGAUUGUAGGCUGAAACUCGCCUACAUGAAGCUGGAGUUACUAGUAAUCGCAGAUCAGAAUGCUGCGGUGAAUGCGUUCCCGGGUCUUGUACACACCGCCCGUCACACCACGGGAGUUGGAGACGCCCGAAGCCGAUUAUCUAACCCUUUGGAAGAAGUCGUCGAAGGUGGAAUCAAUAACUGGGGUGAAGUCGUAACAAGGUAGCCGUAUCGGAAGGUGCGGCUGGAUCACCUCCUUUCUAAGGAGA
Molecule: ribosomal RNA, 577 nt
Filed under: Clostridioides difficile
Lineage: Bacteria; Bacillati; Bacillota; Clostridia; Peptostreptococcales; Peptostreptococcaceae
Description: bacterial SSU rRNA
Rfam family: Bacterial small subunit ribosomal RNA
Source: RNAcentral